This 5907-nucleotide long non-coding RNA is filed under the name Sus scrofa (pig). RNAcentral's name for it is "lncRNA (ENSSSCG00015073839.1)". Lineage: Eukaryota; Metazoa; Chordata; Mammalia; Artiodactyla; Suidae. The record is from RNAcentral.
GCAGCAGGUGCGGCCCUAAAAAGCAAAAAAUAUAUAUAAUAAUAAUAAUUAGAAGAUGCCAGUGAUGUCACAGGAAGAACAAUAUCAGUAUCAGUUACCCUGCCCUGGACCCUCAGCCCAAAACAACGCGGAUGUAGGGGACCCCAGGAGGGAUGAGCCCGGAACAAGGUAAGUCUGGGAGGCUGUCAUCAGGAAAGGACUGACAUGGCCUUUUUGCAGACAUCUGUCGGCUGGGAGGGCAUCUGUCGGCUGGGAGGGCAUCCAAGCUGAGGGGUUUGGAGUGAGUUUGGAGUCUGUCUUCCCUAGAAGCUCGGUUACCACAAAAACCAUCCGUCCCUCCCUGGAGGGAAAAUGGAUGGAAUGGCAGGAAGCAGCUGGGGAUGGCACGGUCCCCUGAGCUGGCCGCAGUGCGUCUCCUCUCCACGGCGAUGCCCGCUUGCAGGGGCCUGGCUCAGACCAAGCCAGCCUGCACCGGGGUCCUGCCCUCUGUUUACACCGUGUCUGUCCCAGUCCCUCCCCGCUUCUCCAGCAUAUGCGUGGCAGGGCAGGUGUCCAGGUCACGGCACCCCAGCGCCCAGCCACCCUUGCUCAGAGCCUGGGCUGGGUCCCUGCGCUCCAGUGAGGGGUCAGGCUCAUUUCCUGCGGCCCCAGAAAUUUCACUGGAACCUCAGAAGCAGCACAGGCUCCUUUCUGGUGACACAGACCCCAUUCCUUUGCUUGGGCUUCCUCGGAUCAUUUUUUCUUAACGGCAAUGAGGCCACCGUGACAGUCCCUGGACUGAGAUUGAGUUUGGGGUCUGUCUUCCCUGGAAGCUCGGUCACCAUAAAAACCAUCCGUCCCUCCCUGGAGGGAAAAUGGAUGGAAUGGUGGGAAGCAGCUGGAGACAGUCCCCUGAGCUGGCCGCAGUGCGUCUGCUCUCCAGGGCGAUGCCCGCUUCCUGCUUCUGUCAUGAGCAGGGCACACCCGGCUGUUCAAAAGAGUUUACAGAUGACACAAAAGACACAAUUCAUGUGAAAGAAACCCAAAGGCAUAGUGUCACCAUCCGUUGCCAUUCAUGGGGUGAGCACAGAAGUACCCUGGUGGCUCAGCUGGUUAAGGAUCCGGUGUUGUCCCUGCUGUGACUCAGGUUUGAUCCCUGGCCAAGGAGCUUCUGCAUGUGGCAGGUGCAGUAGCCAAAAAAGGAGGGGGGUGAGGCCAUUGUUAUGGUCACUAUACAUCCUGUGUCCUGAAAGCCGAGGCUGCUGGGGUGGGACCAGGACCCGAGCACGGCCUUCUCUGGAGCGUGGUCCUGGGCUGGUCCACGUGGCCCUCGUGUCAGGUCAGUGCCGUUUGCAGAAUGAAUCCGAGGCAUGGCAUCCGCCCGAAAGCUAAGCAUCCGGUCAGAAUAUGUGAAGAGCAGAAAUUCCUUGCCCUUUUAAAAUUAUGAAAAUGGCCGUCUCCAGCCUUCAGGCAAGUUAAUUUGAAUUGUAAAGUGUCAGGAGUGCUGAGCCAGAAAGAUGGUGGAAUCAGCUGCGAAGAGGUUUUUCCUAAACCCUGAAUGUGGAUGGAGGCUGUAUGAAAAAGCAUACAAACUCUGAUAUAAAUUAUCUCCAGAAAGAUAUUUAAGUUGAAUGGCAACCGUGCGAGGUAUUCUCUUUGGAAAAAUCUAGGUUACAGCUAAUAAGAAACGCUCUCUCAGGAUGGGGUCACGUUAAUCAAAUUGAGGUGACAUUUCACCGUCGGCUUUAUCUGUUAUUUUUAUGAUGGUGAAUGAGACUAAGCAUUCAGAUAGUCAUCAGGGCAUAUGGCAGAAUUUAAAAAUUGUUAUAAAGGAGGUUUCUAAUGAAAUAAUGGACAGGUCACUUUUUUACCUAACUGGCUGUGUACAUACGGGUUGGGAGAAUGCCAGGCCGGCCCCACACUUCUGGCCCCAAGGGGACCGUGGGCUCUAUCCGAGUCCUGUGUCUCAGGGAGCCUUAUUCCCAGGGACAGUGGACCGGCUCACCUGACAGUCAGCAAGUAUCUAUGGAGUCCCGCCCGUGUGCCAGGCAGUACUUAAGGUCCCGGGGAAGUUGGCAGUGGCCUCACUCAGCUUUAGGUCUGGUGGGAGGUAGAAAUAGAUAAAUACGGUGUCUUGGAAACUGGUUCCGAGGGCCCCGCAGAUGCUGGGAGCUGAGUGGAGCAGCGCCUUGGUCGGGCUCAGAGGGUCCGAGGAGAACGUUUCUGGAAGCUGAGACUCCAAGGAUGAGCUGAACCUCUCCAGGCAGAGGGAGCAGCGUGAGCCAACACAGCACCCCUGCCAACAGCCUACUCCCCACCGAAUGCACUUCACAAAUUCGUGGAUUCAGACCCCUUGGCCUGGGUUUCUGGGUAACGGUUAAAUAAGUUCUCUUGAAACCCUUUUAAGGAACCAUCUAGAAAGUAGGGACGUUUCUGAACAACGUCAAGUAGGGACAAACUGAGUUGAUCCUAAAAAAUAAUUUGCAGAGAUGCAGAGCUGGUCACCCCCAAAGCUUCUACCUGCUUCCUUCUUUUCCUUCUUGAAGUAGUUGUAGUAUCGUGACUUAUAGGGGAGUCAGGAACUGAGCUGGCGCGGGGUGGGGGUGGGGGGUCCUGGGGUCGGAGCAGGAAGGACCCGCCGCUGGGAAGAGAGCAGACUGGGGCUCGGGGACUGCAGACCAUCUGAGGGCACAGAUCCGCUCUAACCGCGUCAUGCCAAACCCUUUCGAGCCACUACGUGCAAUUACACGGAAGAGGCCAGGAGGGUGGCACAAGCACCCGGACUGACGAGCAGUGAGUGACACAUCACAGGAGAGGAACGCAGUGGCCACAAUCCAUUAGGGAUGUAGAAUCUGAUUGGAUGGGGGGAAUAAUGUCACCACGGGAUGUACUGCUCUCUGCCUGCGACUGGCAUUCAUUGAGGACUUACUCUUUGCCGCCCAGGAGAGGCUGAACGCUGGGGACGUAAAGACAAAUGAGACCCGGCCCUGGACCUCAGUGCCGCCGAAAUCCCUGCAAACAGCUCGGGGAGCAAACACCUCUGGGCCGUGUGGCGGUUUUCUUCCUCCCGUGGCCUCUUUCAUUUGCCUAGAAAUCCUCUUGCAUGUCAUGUCCUUUUAUGGGUCCUUAGAGAACCUCCUGGCCUUUUUGGAUCCUGAGUUUCUCAGCAGGGCCCGUGGGCCACCUGUUGAUAAACGCUCAGGGUCCUAAACUCAUUCAUUCCUUCAUUUGAUGAAAGCAGGAAGGAAGACCUAAUACUCUGGCCGCAGCGGGAGGCCCUGAGCAGAAAGGCUCACGGGGUCCCUGCCCACGUGGGGCUUCGCGUCUCUGGAGCAAGGACUUUCACGAAGUCAGGUCACGCGUGUAACGUCCGACUGUGACACACGCUCGAAGCAGAGGGGCACCACCCCUGAGAGUGUGGCCGGAGUGUGGCCUCUGACCAGGCAGGCGGCUCAGGAAAGGCUGCCCCGGGGAGCGGGGCUGGCAGAGGCCUGAGGACAGAUGUGCGUUGGUUGUGAGGGGAGGGCCUUCCCAGGAGGGUGGCGUGUGCAGAAGGCUCAGGACGAGGACGGAAGGGACCUGGGUGUUUCAGGAGAGGAGGGGGAGCGUAGCGGGAUGGAGCUCAGAGAGUGAGGCGGGUCAUGGGGCAACAUGAAGCCAGGAUGCGGGCCGGGAAACACUUCCAGGAUCGGAGCUUUGCGCUCUGAGCAAUGGGGAGCCACCGAAGAGGAUUUAACGGGAAGGCGCACAGGGCUGGGAGCGGAUCACAUCGGAGCUUGAAAACGUCUCUCUGGCAGUGGUGUGAGAAGGCUGUAGGCGCCGCAUGGUGCCAGGCAGCAAGGGAGCUGUUGGAAGCAGUUCAGGCAACACACUGGAGAUGGGGCCUGGGUGCCUGGGCCUGGGCCAGGACUGGGGUGCCUGCGCCCCCAGAGCCGCUGUGGCCUCCAGGCUCAGGCAGGGUGCCGAGCUGCCUUGCGGAAUCCAGGCCACCUCGUGGCUGUUGACGGGUCAGGGCUCUGGCUGGGACCAGGCGGGUGUGUGGCAUCAGGUGUGCGCGCGGCGCGGUGGAACUGGCGCGUUCCCAGGUCUGUUCUGUAGACUCUCCCUCCCAACCCCGUCCCUCUGCGGCAGGAGCUGGGGUUCACUUACCCUCGUCCCUGCCCACCCCCACGCACGAGGUGACACGCUGAUGUCCUCUGACAGGACGGGGGCUGCUGCAGCCCAUCCCUCACACCCAGGUGUCCCCCACGCUUCCGGUGUCGGAUGGAACCUGCCGCAGCGCAGGUGCGCGUGUCUAAAGGCGUCUCUUCCCCACAGUGAAUGGCCUUGGGGGGCGUUUUCCCCUCACCGCUUUGGAACAAGGCUUUUAGAACUGUGUUCGGAAGAUGAGUGUGCAGGCUUGAGAAGCAAAAGAAGGCGUAAGGCUUUUUGCAGCCACAGUAGGUGGUAAAUAGGCCUGUAUUCACAAACACAACAUCCACCGCAACCCUGCCGCUGGGAGAAAUGCUUUUUAGCGGCUGCCCCUCGCCUUCUUGCCCUUAUGGCCUCUGCAUAUCUGAGUUUGUUAAAACCGGAGAGCUGCCCCCCGCCGCCCCCCAGGGGAAGAGCGGGAGGUUCACAGACGUCAUGAUAUAAGAGAAUGAUACGCUCACGUAUUUUUUUUUCUGAUGGAAGAACGUGCUGGCUGUGCUUAGAGUCCAUAUUAUGCUGUUAUUGUCGCCUUUGUCCUCCGUGUUCAGACUUUAAUUCGGGAGCAAGAUGUCCAUGCUUGGACGUGCUUGGGGUGCAAAGAGAAGCCACCAGCCCAGGUCUCCGAGUCCUGUCAUUCCCAUAAUCACGUGCACCUCUCUGGCGGUGACCUCUGCCCCCUUGGAGGAAAUGUACAUUACACAGGGGGUUGAAUCACAGCCAGUCCAAGACCCCCGAGCACCCCGCGGCCCCGAGCUCCACCGGGAUUGGCCGCCCCGCCCCCAUGCCCACGCGCCCCCGUGGUCUUUCCCCUCAGAGCCCUGCUGGGGAGCCCCAACACCCAAGGGGAUCCUUGGCUUCCCCGAGCAAUUAAUUAAAUGGGCUCCAGGUCAUCGCAAACCCCCCAGACGUUGAAAACCGCAGGCCUUGCCCUCCCCCGGGGGAAUCCGAGACUUCUCCCGGCACCUGCUUGGCCGGUGUCAGAGGGGCACGGGUUCACAAGGCGCAGAGGGUCCCGCCUGCCCACGGAGCUGGUUCACCGACCCCCAGGUGACUGGGAGGCUGGCGCAGCAGGCACUUAGCCGACGGUGCGGGGCUGGUCCAGGGGCCGCCGGCAGCUUUGUCCCUCCUCGGCAGGAGCCGUAUCUGUGGAGUGCUGCCCGAGGUGGUAGGGCCUCUGCCACCACGAGGUACACACGAGCUGCCGAGAACAUCGACCUGAAAACUGGUGCUCCUGGACCUCUGCCCUGGACCUGCGGCUGUCUAGGCCGGGCUGCCGCCACCUUGACCUUCCACAUUCCUCAAGCCUGCCCAGCCCCAGGGCAUAGCCAGUACCCUCCUUGUGGCAGGAGCCUCCCGGCUCCUCUGCUCUGCUUUGGUCCGGGCUCCUGUCGGCCAGGAGCACUGAGCAGGGGGCCUUGCCCUGGCAGGCUGCACUCCGCAUAGUUUUUGAGCAAGUCACGCUUCCACACCAGUGAUUAAUUUUCCACCAAGCAGUGUGAAUAGUUUUCUAAAGAAGUACAAUAGGAUGAGGCAUAAAUCUGUCAUACAAGAUUGAUUUUACUCUGGAUUUAAAAAAAAAAAAACUCAUAGAUUUAUAUCUUUGCUGCGGUAGCAAAUCUAUUACCAGAAUGGGCUUCCGUCUGUUAGAAAAUGUAUAGCGGGCAUUGUGCCAGCUGUUUUAUUCUGUCUCAUUUUAAUUAUUCCAUGAAGUGGGUAUUAACUCUCCUACUCACAGAU